RNAcentral lists this ribosomal RNA (467 nucleotides) under uncultured bacterium. RNAcentral's name for it is "partial 16S ribosomal RNA". It matches the Rfam family "Bacterial small subunit ribosomal RNA", at positions 28 to 506 of the family's 1533-position model. The record is from RNAcentral.
GACGAACGCUGGCGGCGUGCUUAACACAUGCCAGUCGAACGGGAAGGCCCUGCUUUUGUGGGGUGCUCGAGUGGCGAACGGGUGAGUAACACGUGAGUAACCUGCCCUUGACUUUGGGAUAACUUCAGGAAACUGGGGCUAAUACCGGAUAGGAGCUCCUGCUGCAUGGUGGGGGUUGGAAAGUUUCGGCGGUUGGGGAUGGACUCGCGGCUUAUCAGCUUGUUGGUGGGGUAGUGGCUUACCAAGGCUUUGACGGGUAGCCGGCCUGAGAGGGUGACCGGCCACAUGGGGACUGAGAUACGGCCCAGACUCCUACGGGAGGCAGCAGUGGGGAAUAUUGCACAAUGGGCGGAAGCCUGAUGCAGCAACGCCGCGUGCGGGAUGACGGCCUUCGGGUUGUAAACCGCUUUCGCCUGUGACGAAGCGUGAGUGACGGUAAUGGGUAAAGAAGCACCGGCUAACUACGU